AUUGAACGCUGGCGGCAGGCCUAACACAUGCAAGUCGAACGGUAACAGGAAGAAGCUUGCUUCUUUGCUGACGAGUGGCGGACGGGUGAGUAAUGUCUGGGAAACUGCCUGAUGGAGGGGGAUAACUACUGGAAACGGUAGCUAAUACCGCAUAACGUCGCAAGACCAAAAAGGGGGACCUUCGGGCCUCUUGCCAUCGGAUGUGCCCAGAUGGGAUUAGCUAGUAGGUGGGGUAACGGCUCGCCUAGGCGACGAUCCCUAGCUGGUCUGAGAGGAUGACCAGCCACACUGGAACUGAGACACGGUCCAGACUCCUACGGGAGGCAGCAGUGGGGAAUAUUGCACAAUGGGCGCAAGCCUGAUGCAGCCAUGCCGCGUGUAUGAAGAAGGCCUUCGGGUUGUAAAGUACUUUCAGCGGGGAGGAAGGGAGUAAAGUUAAUACCUUUGCUCAUUGACGUUACCCGCAGAAGAAGCACCGGCUAACUCCGU
This 489-nucleotide ribosomal RNA is filed under the name uncultured bacterium. RNAcentral's name for it is "partial 16S ribosomal RNA". It matches the Rfam family "Bacterial small subunit ribosomal RNA", at positions 30 to 506 of the family's 1533-position model. The record is from RNAcentral.